Molecule: ribosomal RNA, 211 nt
Filed under: uncultured bacterium
Lineage: Bacteria
Description: partial 16S ribosomal RNA
Rfam family: Bacterial small subunit ribosomal RNA
Source: RNAcentral
AGUUCGGAUUGCAGUCUGCAACUCGACUGCAUGAAGCUGGAAUCGCUAGUAAUCGCGAAUCAGAAUGUCGCGGUGAAUACGUUCCCGGGUCUUGUACACACCGCCCGUCACACCAUGGGAGUUGGAAGCGCCCGAAGUCUGUGACCUAACCGUGAGGGAGGAGCAGCCGAAGGUGAAGCCAGUGACUGGGGUGAAGUCGUAACAAGGUAUC